GCUAACCCACUCUUGGGAUCGGGUAAGAGGGGAAGAGGUGGCAUCGACAGCGGCGGUACCAGGGCAGGAGGAGAGGAGGGGUAUGUAGAGGGUCGCGGCUCAAGCGACGGAAUCGACGAGAGGGGUGAUCGGUCGUACGGCAGCUGCCGGUUGGCCCGGCGGCGUGCGUCCUUCCUUCUCGUCGUCGUCGGCCCUGCUCCCGCCCCUACCUCUUGCGCCGCAGGUAGAUCGCCUCGGAAGCAGGUAGGGAGUGGGGACUACGGCGGCAGGAAGGAGGAGGGGUAGCCCCGAUCCGUCUCCUCCUCCUCGCGGCCGGUGCUCGUGCUGCUCCUCCGCCGGCCGUAGUGACACGCAGCGGGCUGGUUCCAGAAGAGGGUGAUGAGACCCAGCGCGCGGCGGAGACAGCGGCUGUCCUCCCUCGGCGCCGUCGGCGGUGCGUAGGGCCGCUGGUCCCGGGGGGGCCGCACCAAGGGAGUUGCCUCCCUACGAAGGAGGCAGGUGACGGACGAGGCACGGCUGUGGUAGUCAUCGCCGCCGCCAGUCCGACUACGCCUGAGGCGCGGUGGUGGCUGCCGAAGCGGUGCCUGGCGUAGCAGAGGCUGGUACCGCUUUUCCGCGGGUAGCAGCAGAUGUCGCCGUGGGAGAAGCCGGGACUGGAUCCACGCACUCGAGUGGUGGCAGGCGGAGCUCCAGUACAAAGGGAGAGGGAGCUCAAGUUGCGCACACACUGGCACACUACCUAACGUAAUCUGCACAACGUCAGUGGCCCUACGAGUAACGCGAGCAACCUAAGCCCGAGAUGUUCGAAGCUAAGGGUUCACAGUACUUUACAUAGUUUUAGCCAGAAGGUCUCUAGUAUGACAACCAUCGAGAAAGGGUCAUGUAUGGAGUAGGCCACGGAAACGACCCGUGACGGAAACUCCCCAAGCGGCAGUAUUACAGGCAACGACAGAACACCGAAAUACGUAAGAAGGACUGCCAACCGUCCCGCAUAUUCUUACGACGAGGUGGACUGGUAGGGUUAUGACGUCCUCACUAGCCAUGUCGGUUACGUAGCGAUGAUCUCAUGACCGGGAAAACCACAAUCAUACCGACCUAAUAAACGAAGAAAGUACUACUUCUUUACCGGUAUCGGUACCCUCAAAGGAGAACCGCUACUAUCGGCCAAGCACGACAUGCCGAACCAACUCGAGUUCCAGUUACCUAUGCCGUUAACAGUCGAUAAAACACAAAGACCAAGAUAUAUAUAUGACCAACCUACAACUGUUUGUUAAAGGUACGGAAGAAAAAGAUACCCACAUACGAGUCGGUCCCAAUCUUCGUCACCCAGUAGGAGCUGGAGUGCGGCGGGUAGAUCUGUCUUCUUCUACCCACGACGUCCACUGCUCCGACUGCGCGGUAGCAGGACAGAAGACACUCCCCUAGGUAGUACUCCUUGGUCGCCUGCGCUAUGCCCAUGGGCUAGGAAUGACGCCUUAGUGGAGAAGAACACCUACCAACGACUUGUCGUCGUCAAGGUAGAGGUAGGGGUUGCGUAGGAACGGAGUAGAACUAGACGUUACUUGGUCUCGAGUAUCUUUCUCUAAACUACACUACUAACUCCACCUUCCGAUGGAAUUGGAUACCUAGUUUCUAACUAGUUCUUUCUGUUUAACAGAGUACGAAGUUCAUGGUUCUUCUAUUAAAGAACGUUCUAUUCCUUUUUACCAUUCGAAGAGGUAAACAUAUGGGUACGAAUAAAAAGCAUCUUUACUACCAACACAUACAAUAGUACAUGAGGGAGGCAUUUUUUUAUCGGUAUCUAAUCAAAAUGAGGUACCGAUACCAAAGUUGCCACUUUAUUUGUACCAUAAAAUGACUUUUUCGUACCAUAAAAUGGGACCUCAAGAUUUGGGAUGUUUAAUCGCACCAAUACCACACAAUCCAGUUAGUUAUCGCCUUUCAAAUCGGACCUCGAGAUGAAUCAUCUUUUUAUGUUUUGAUAAUAAUAAUUAACUGUUUUAGGGAAUAAGACGAACCAUACACGAACCGAGUACAUACAACUAAGAGAACCCGACGCGUCCCACAACAUAGGCCCUCAGUUUCAAUGAACGAAAGAAGGAAUGAACACGAAUAGGUCGGGGUUCUAUGUGAGUGUCCGACAAACUGGGACAAAGUUAAACGGAAGAAGAACUGGUUUAACUAACAACAAAGGGGAGGAUUAGAGGCACCUAUUCAUCUGGGGAAUGACGAUUUAAAUCAACGGAAGCGAACGGUAAAUUCCACAACACAGGGAACCGCUUACAUCACUACCUGACCAGAAACCGUGAAGAGUCAGCUGGUCCUAUUAGUAUGAGUUCAGACUAACAUGCUACCGAGGACACCUACGAGACCAACAACCUCUCUAAGACAGACAUCUCCUACAAAAAGUCGCGAACUAGUCGAUGCUACUUCUCGUUACGGAACUUUGUAAAGAAACACCAGAGACGUGUUAAAUAAAGUCACUCGUGGGUCAUUCCCUCUUGUGAUGAGUAUGGUAUAUAUAACCUGUGACUCAACCACGAGGUACCUCGUUCCCGUGGUUCUAAAUACGUGUUUAGGUUUGGUUUAAACCAGCUGCGGUGGCACCGUCACAAGAAGCCGUGAGCCCAGUUGUAUCAUCCAAAGAGGAACAGUAACUGUCGUAGCCAAUCGUAUCCCCGUCGCCAGCGCCAGUGCCAGUGGGCUCCUCGUGUCGGUGUGCCCCGACCAGGACGACGGUGGUCUCUUCUCGCCUCCUCCAGCUAUGUCCCAGCUCCUCCCCGUGCCCGCUCCAAGUACGGCGUGCCCCCGUGCGCCGCAGGUCGCUCUCUUCCGAAGAGGACAAGGGCACGGCGGUCCGUGGGGAGUGGCGGCGGGAUGAACAGGAGGCCAGCAGCCACGAGACAACCAAUGACCUAAAACGAAUAGACGGCCGUCUGGCGUGGCCUCCGGCGGCGGUAUAUCCCCGACUACUCCCGUAGCACUACUCCAACGGCGAAAACGGUAUCGUCUCUCCUAGGUCGGCCGUGCGACGCAGAGGGUAUUUGUACGGAUUAAAAUAUACGUCUCCUUACAUAGGUACUUGACCCUUUGGACACUUGAGAAACUAUGCGGAAAAUACACAACGAAAACCAGAACUAUCUCCCUCUAUGUAACUGUCCUUCACGAGUGAGCGAUUUUAACAAAGAUAGUCCCCGUCUUAAUAACAACUUUGUGCGUGGCACACUUAUACUUAUCCUUGGAAAGUAUUAAUAAGGGUUUGUACGGUGACACAGUAGUAACCGGUCACGUCCAUAACGAGAGAUCGACUAGAUAACGAAUCAAGAAGAACCAAAGUUAAUACAACCGGGAGGAAUUCUAACAAACCCUUACACUCCGAAAUUUCAAGGUUGGAACACGUUCCGAGGUUUCGAAAUGGUCAAAAGGUGAACGAAGUUUACUUAAACAGUAACUUCUUUGGUACUUAAGAAAAGAAAAGAAAAACUGGAUGUGUAUUGGAAAGUACCCUUCUAUCACACAGUAAAGGGGUAAUCCCAACCUCAUGAACUACAUACACAACAUAAUCACUGCACCAGCAUUGUUCUUUGGUAUUUAUAACAAAAACUAAAGGAACCUACUUCUGUAAAAAUACACUGUUGGUAUACAAAUGAUUAUGUAUCACCCCAAAGCCUUUGACCAACAAUGAAAACAAACAACUGUUGGUUAAUGACACUAAGGUCCUUGAGAAUCUAAUAUGUUCAGGGAUACAAACAAACCUAAGUACUUGGUACCCUGAUCUGAAAGUAAGCUACGGUGAUCGAGAACACUACGUGGCACAUUUGAUGGUACACUAGAGGGAGAAGAAAACACUUACGCAGGGAAAACAGUGUAGAUAGGUAGGAAAACAUGAACUAUAGAUGGCACAUACUUGUUAACAUGGAAAUUAAAUGGUACAUAUACCUGUAACGUAGGAGUUUACACAACACAACAGCAAGACAACCGAUACCUCUACACAACAUGAUGUCAAAACCAUAGGUAGAUACUACAGAACGAGGAUAAUGUACACUUAUAAAGAAGAAAGGAAAUAAGACUAUUUAGGACCGAAAGAUGAUUGAAACUGGUAAUGAACGAAGCGGUGUAGCAACCUUGGCCGUGGGAGCGCGGUUCCGCGCUACGGCUAGAGCACUCUUUUCUACAGAGGAGAUCAUCCCUCCGCGAAGACCACAGAAGUAGUUAGAGUUAUACUUCAUGGCCGAACCAGAGAGCCUCCUAAAGGCCGCCACACGUAAGCACCCUCCUCUGCAAGGGCAGCUGCUUCUCCGCGGAUGCCACUGAAGCAUUUAGAGUUCUACUAUACGACCGAGUCAGAAAGCUUCCACGAGUAUCCCCCACACGCACACACGUAAGUAUCCCCGCUUACAUACACGCACAUAUACUCGCGAACACAGACAUGACUACAAUUUUUUCCUGCGGCUAUAGGUGGUGUGCACACCAUAUAAUCUGUACGCGGGUGUGUGGUACACACCGCACUCGUCCUCCGUCGGGUGUGCCCGACACACACCCGCCUAAUCUUAACGGUUGUGCACACCCGUGUCGAUGAAGCACGGUGUGCAGGUUGUUCAUGAUGAGUAGAAGUGGGGCGCACACACCGUGCUUCGUUUUUACGGGUGAGCAGAACCGCGUCGAUACAAUUUGUGUGCGCCCUAC
Molecule: ribosomal RNA, 4686 nt
Filed under: Triticum aestivum (bread wheat)
Lineage: Eukaryota; Viridiplantae; Streptophyta; Magnoliopsida; Poales; Poaceae
Description: partial small subunit ribosomal RNA
Source: RNAcentral